Molecule: long non-coding RNA, 1888 nt
Organism: Hyla sarda
Lineage: Eukaryota; Metazoa; Chordata; Amphibia; Anura; Hylidae
Exons: 3
Source: RefSeq, a predicted model, not a curated record
CGCACCUUCACCAGCACUGUGCCCGUCCUCCGCUCCCACGUCUGCGCCGGCCCGACGUCACACCGCAUGGCCGCGCAGGAGGACGUGAGUUACGUCACUCGCACGGCGCCCGGUGAGAAGGAUCGCUGCGCUGGAUUGAGGAUGAGAAUGCGCUGACAUAGUGAGGAGACGUCUGGGCGUCACAUUCUACAGACAGAAGUUUUAGCUGGACCAGGCGGAAUACCCCUUUAUAAAGGACCAUGAAAAAGAUAAAGGGACCUUCCUGAGCAUAUCUGGAGUUUUUCUUUUUUUUGCAUUUUGCCCCCCUGGCUAACAUGGAUAGAGAAUCCAGUGAGGACUGGGAUAGCAUGGAGCUGGUCCAGUACAUACCAGUGAUGUAAUACUAUGGGAACGGUCUCAGAUUUUGGUCUGUAAAGCUCAUAUUUCCAACUCACCAGACUAGUUGUGAAUAUUUUUGUUAAAACACAAUAUGAACCCAGGACAAGAGGGGUAAUAGAAACCCAUGUCCUCCCUAAGGCCUCCUACACAAAGGUGUUUGCAGGUGUGUACCGCUCCACCACGGUGAACCCAACCGGCUCUUAUCUUCAGUAUCAUCCACAGGUGUAGAAACGUUCCCAGUCCAUUCCUGUGAUCUGUUUAUUAAUAACUCAAUCAAUGUGCAAAAAACAGGACUGUCAGUACAGCAGCAGAGGACAUGCAUAAAACAAGGACUUCUGGACUAAGAUUCUGUGAAACAACUUGAACAACUAUAAUAAAACUUCUGGAGCAAUCUCUAUACAAUACAGCUUGGAAUGUUACAGCAUUUUAGUUACAAUGCCGAUGUGGUGUCCCAGUAAUGGAGUGCGUCCUGUCAGGUAAACAUUGCUUCAGGUGCCUGACCUAGGACCUGCUGCUUAGGUGAUGCAGUGAUAUUCCCUGUUAUAUUUGUUCUGUUCAUUUAUAUUAUGUUGCCCUGUAUCUUUAAGGAAUGUUCUGGAUGUCUGUCUGGAGGUAUGAUGCAGAGUACCCAUGUGACCCUGAUUGCCCAAUGGGAACCCCCAAAUUGCCCUGUAUAUAGUGUAGGCGGGAAGGAGUUGCCCCAGAUAGUUUUUAGUUUCAGUUCAGCUUAGAGAUUACUGCUGUGCAGAGCUCCAUGUGAGCUGCAGUGUGGAAAGGAGGUGGAAGAAGUGUGAGGUGAUUCCAAGGGAAGCCUAAAGAAAAUCUCUUAUGAAAUCAUCCCCGCCAUUCUGCAAGUGUUCCCUGCACAGGAGUUGGUGAGUUCAUACCCUGGCGGUUUCAAUAAUUUGGACCUUAGCAGAACCCUGGUCAGCGUGUGAUAUCUCCAAGUCUGUCAUAUCAAUUAGCAAGUCAAUUCAAGUGUGUGAAAAGCACUAUAUGUCCCAGCAAGGCUGCAGAGCUCCCAUGUGUUACACUGCAUUCCUUCUACUCAGCUCUGUACUGCGAGUAUUGUAACAAAUGCUCCUGCCUCAGUAACCUGGCAUCGGUGUGUUGAUUGCCCGAGCCUGGCCCAGAAGAAGCUGUCUCUACCUCGGACCAUGUAGGGUGCCCUGGCAUCAUGAUUUGUCAAAUAUAUCUUGCACCCCUGAGUCACGAUACAGAUGUCACAUGUUCUCAGUUUCUCAAGUUCUCGGUCCAUUAUAGGUAAAACUACUGAUGAGGAUUUUCACAGGUUGGCCUACUGUGGUGCAAUAUGUAGUCUCUUCUCACACAGCGGUCAUUUGUGACAUGGUACCCGAAAGUAUGUAUGCAGAGAAAUCUUCUUAACAUGUCAAGCAGCACUCUCUUCAACCGUAGGCCAACAGAGAGUUUAGUGUAUUGGAGAGAGGUCCUUGUUCACCCCCCUAACCUGCCGCACCGCGACCGCCCCCCGACCCGCACCACACCAUGU